GAUGAACGCUAGCUACAGGCUUAACACAUGCAAGUCGAGGGGAAACGAUAGAGAAAGCUUGCUUUUUCUAGGCGUCGACCGGCGCACGGGUGAGUAACGCGUAUCCAACCUGCCCACCACUUGGGGAUAACCUUGCGAAAGUAAGACUAAUACCCAAUGAUGUCUAAAGAAGACAUCUGAAUCAGAUAAAAGAUUUAUCGGUGAUGGAUGGGGAUGCGUCUGAUUAGCUUGUUGGCGGGGUCACGGCCCACCAAGGCGACGAUCAGUAGGGGUUCUUGGAGGAAGGUGCCCCACAUUGGAACGGAGACACGGUCCAAACUCCUACGGGAGGCAGCAGUGAGGAAUAUUGGUCAAUGGGCGAGAGCCUGAACCAGCCAAGUAGCGUGCAGGAUGACGGCCCUAUGGGUUGUAAACUGCUUUUAUAAGGGAAUAAAGUGAGUCUCGUGAGGCUUUUUGCAUGUACCUUAUGAAUAAGGACCGGCUAAUUCCGUGCCAGCCGCCGCUGUAA
Molecule: ribosomal RNA, 508 nt
Filed under: uncultured bacterium
Lineage: Bacteria
Description: partial 16S ribosomal RNA
Rfam family: Bacterial small subunit ribosomal RNA
Source: RNAcentral